This 319-nucleotide long non-coding RNA is filed under the name Mytilus galloprovincialis (Mediterranean mussel). Lineage: Eukaryota; Metazoa; Mollusca; Bivalvia; Mytilida; Mytilidae. The record is from RNAcentral.
AAACAUGCAUAACAAGAAUGUGUCCUCAGUACACGAAUGCCCCACUCGCACUAUCAUUUUCUAUGUUCAGUGGACCGUGAAAUUGGGGUAAAAUCUCUAAUUUGGCAUUAAAAUUAGAAAGAUCAUAUCAUAGGGAACAUGUGUACCAAGUUUGAAGUCGAUUGGACUUCAACUUCAUCAAAAACUACCUCGACCAAAAACUUUAACCUGAAGCGGGACGGACGAACGAACGAACAGACGAACGAACGAACAGACGGACGGACGAACGAACGAACGAACGGACGCACAGACCAGAAAACAUAAUGCCCCUCUACUAUCG